Scatophagus argus is the source of this 440-nucleotide long non-coding RNA. RefSeq lists it as uncharacterized. The transcript has 3 exons. The record is from RefSeq and is a predicted model, not a curated record. Lineage: Eukaryota; Metazoa; Chordata; Actinopteri; Scatophagidae.
AGACAGCCACCUCCACCCAGCAGCCAGCCAACACCUUCCUGCAAACCCACAGCGCCUCCCCUUGGGUGGAGGACUGGGAAGAGACGAGCCUCCAGGAGGGAGCGCUGUUCUCCUCUGACCCACAACUCCUCUGGCCUGAGAGAGAGUCAAAGCUCAGCUGAUGAGUCCUACUGGAUUCCUGUUCUGCCGUAGACGAGGCUCCAUCUGUGGUUGAGGAAGGAGGCGCUGCUGUCAUCAGAGGAGACCUGAGGAGGAGGAGGAUUUGAGGCGAUAAUCUUCUGUGAUAUGAGCUGAGCUGCGGGUGGUCCUGCGCUCCCAUCACAGUGAAGACGUUCAGCUUCAGCCCCCCCAGCUCAAUGCGAUGUCCCUGGAUGAUGAUGUCAUUGGUCAGCUCCAGCUGUCUGACACUCUGUGAUGUCAUCAGCUCAAGACCUGACAGU